UACGUAGGGUGCGAGCGUUAAUCGGAAUUACUGGGCGUAAAGCGUGCGCAGGCGGUUUGUUAAGACAGGCGUGAAAUCCCCGGGCUCAACCUGGGAACUGCGUUUGUGACUGUAUGACUAGAGUACGGUAGAGAGGGGUGGAAUUCCUGGUGUAGCAGUGAAAUGCGUAGAUAUCAGGAGGAACAUCGAUGGCGAAGGCAGCCCCUUGGACCUGUACUGACGCUCAUGCACGAAAGCGUGGGGAGCAAACAGG
Molecule: ribosomal RNA, 253 nt
Filed under: uncultured bacterium
Lineage: Bacteria
Description: partial 16S ribosomal RNA
Rfam family: Bacterial small subunit ribosomal RNA
Source: RNAcentral